This is a long non-coding RNA of Ochotona curzoniae (black-lipped pika), 442 nucleotides long. RefSeq lists it as uncharacterized. NCBI's taxonomy places the organism in Eukaryota, Metazoa, Chordata, Mammalia, Lagomorpha, Ochotonidae. The record is from RefSeq and is a predicted model, not a curated record. The transcript is spliced from 3 exons.
GUGGGCAGAUUCUAACGCCUGGGGGCAUAGUCUGUUUUCCUGAUUGUGUGUAGACUCUGCCCCAUUCAGAGAAAAAGAACAAAAUAAUCUGUGUAUUGAUUGGAAAAGUGAGUGGGAUGUGGGGGAGUAAGUGAAAGCACCUCUCUACCCCCAAGUCUGCAGUGUACAAAGCCGUCUCUUUGCUCAAGGACUGCGAAAUGCUUGCUGGUGUCAUCCCUCUUCCACAGUUCAGAAGCCAAGUCUGAGACCUACAGCAAUUUGGAAAGCCAUUCCUAUCUUCCGGCAUGGAUCUCCCCUCGUGGCAGCUGGAGGAAAUAUAGGAACUCCGUGACCUGGAAAAUGUGGGACAACUGACGCAAGGUCACCCAGCAAGUGUCCAGAUAAGGCGUGAAGGGAAGCGAGGUUUUAGCUGACAACGCUCUAUGCCAUUAUGGGAAUGGGA